This is a long non-coding RNA of Rhagoletis zephyria (snowberry fruit fly), 653 nucleotides long. RefSeq lists it as uncharacterized. The record is from RefSeq and is a predicted model, not a curated record. Lineage: Eukaryota; Metazoa; Arthropoda; Insecta; Diptera; Tephritidae.
UUAAAAUUUUCGCAAAAUCAUGUUUUUUUUUUAAGCAAUGAGAAGGCGUCAGCAUACAACAUUCUUUUAUUUUACACACAUUUAUGCUCCGAAUACGCGCCUCUACAUUGGUACGUGUCCAGUUUGCUUGUCGACUCUUAGUAUUCCUAUGAAAGCAGGCGCUGCACUGACAGUUGUCGCGUAACCAAACACUGGGAAAUUUUAAAGGUGAGCCAAGAUCCGGUCCCUGCAGUACAACGACAUUUCCUCCGGCCACAGACGCGGUAAGUUGGCGAUGCAACGGCCAGCAGUUCCGCGUAGCGGUUAGUUGGUGAAAAAUGCUCUUGAUAAGUUGCCUUGUGAACAUCUUUAUAUACCACUAUACACUGUGAGACAGCUACAUUAAUGUGAUAUGUAAGUAAUCGUACGUUGAUUGUUGGGCUUGAUAACGCGGUUGGGGAGAGAAAGUUCAUUGCUUCUAAGCGUAUAUUAUUAUUUAUAUUACAAAAAGUGCUUUUGAGUAUUGAAAAUAAAAGUAUGUACUUUAUUUUAGCAUAUUUGCCUUAUUAGAAAUUAUUCUCUGCGAUAUAUGUAUGAAAGCUUAAAUAUCCCGAAGUGCAGUUUAAAUUUUAGUUCACGUUGUAGAAUUUGUGUAGUAAGCGUCCAUUUUCUUA